This 322-nucleotide ribosomal RNA is filed under the name uncultured eukaryote. Its description in RNAcentral is "partial 18S ribosomal RNA". It matches the Rfam family "Eukaryotic small subunit ribosomal RNA", at positions 1470 to 1796 of the family's 1831-position model. The record is from RNAcentral.
CCCUUAGAUGUUCUGGGCCGCACGCGUGCUACACUGAGUGGAUCAGCGGGUCAGGUUGCGCGAAAGUGUUUCCUAAUCUUGAAAUCCGCUCGUGAUGGGGAUUGACGGUUGCAAUUUUCCGUCAUGAACGAGGAAUACCUUGUAAGCGCGGGUCAUCAUCCCGCGCUGAAUACGUCCCUGCCCUUUGUACACACCGCCCGUCGCUCCUACCGAUUGAGUGGUCCGGUGAGGCUUUGGGAUCUGAGCGGAAAGAGCGUUUCGCUGUUUCUGCUCGGAAAACUCAGUCGAACCUUAUCAUUUAGAGGAAGGAGUAGUCGUAACA